UAAAAUCGUGCUUGAAGGAAAAACUUCUCUCUGAAUUCCAUAUGCAUGUUAGCACUAUACAGACAAACUGUUGAAAAAUGUUGAUCACAGUCAUAAAGAAAAAUAUCUACGUUGUCAAACCGAACGUUGGCGUCUUCUGGAAUAAUUCCUUCAACUGGUGAAAUUUUUCGAGUCAACUCUGGAUCUUCACCAAUCAUAUACUCAUCAUUUAAAGAGGUAAAAGUGGCUCUGAUAAAAUCGUAGACAAAUGAAAAUCCAGUAGGCUCAACGUUGAGAAUGAGAUCAGAAAGGACUACAGCAAUGGUAGUUCGAACACCUUCGUAAACAGAAUCUAGUUCAGGAGAGUCAUAAUCAAUGCUUGUAUAGCUGAUGAAAACGGUAUCAUCAAAGUUAUUUUUAGGUGAAGGAGAAGAACGAACUAAAACAUUGUCACAAAGAGAAGAAGGAUAUGUAAAUUCUUUAAUAACCAAGUCGUUAAGCUUGGAAGUAACAAGGUAAUCAAAUUUUCGCACUACUAGGUCGAUGUAAAACUCUGUAAAUGCUCUUACCACAGGUAUGAGAUAGUUUUCAGAUCUUCGGUACAACGAACAUAUAGCAU
Schizosaccharomyces pombe (fission yeast) is the source of this 598-nucleotide non-coding RNA. Lineage: Eukaryota; Fungi; Ascomycota; Schizosaccharomycetes; Schizosaccharomycetales; Schizosaccharomycetaceae. The record is from the annotation of a GenBank genome assembly.